RNAcentral lists this ribosomal RNA (364 nucleotides) under uncultured bacterium. RNAcentral's name for it is "partial 16S ribosomal RNA". It matches the Rfam family "Bacterial small subunit ribosomal RNA", at positions 338 to 699 of the family's 1533-position model. The record is from RNAcentral.
CCUACGGGGGGCAGCAGUGAGGAAUAUUGGUCAAUGGGCGGAAGCCUGAACCAGCCAAGUCGCGUGAGGGAUUAAGGCCCUACGGGUCGUAAACCUCUUUUGCCGGGGAGCAAGGGCGGGCACGUGUCCCGGCCCGGAGAGUACCUGGAGAAAAAGCAUCGGCAAACUCCGUGCCAGCAGCGGCGGUAAUACGGGGGAUGCGAGCGUUAUCCGGAUUUAUUGGGUUUAAAGGGUGCGUAGGCGGGCUUUUAAGUCAGCGGGAAAGAUUCGGGGCUAAACCCCGUCCGGCCGUUGAAACUGGGGGCCUUGAGUGGGCGAGAAGAAGGGGGAAUGCGUGGUGUAGCGGUGAAAGGCAUAGAAAUCA